This 301-nucleotide ribosomal RNA is filed under the name uncultured bacterium. RNAcentral describes it as "partial 16S ribosomal RNA". It matches the Rfam family "Bacterial small subunit ribosomal RNA", at positions 509 to 807 of the family's 1533-position model. The record is from RNAcentral.
CAGUCGCCGCGGUAAUACGUAGGUGGCAAGCGUUGUUCGGAAUUAUUGGGCGUAAAGGGCUCGCAGGCGGUUUCUUAAGUCUGAUGUGAAAGCCCCCGGCUCAACCGGGGAGGGUCAUUGGAAACUGGGAAACUUGAGUGCAGAAGAGGAGAGUGGAAUUCCACGUGUAGCGGUGAAAUGCGUAGAGAUGUGGAGGAACACCAGUGGCGAAGGCGACUCUCUGGUCUGUAACUGACGCUGAGGAGCGAAAGCGUGGGGAGCAAACAGGAUUAGAUACCCGAGUAGUCCCUGUCUCUUAUAC